CGGGAUGCGUCCCGUCAAGGAAUGUGGCUCGUCUUUCGAGCUGAACCUGAAA
The submitters of this non-coding RNA (52 nucleotides) gave its source as unclassified sequences. The record is from Rfam.